This 376-nucleotide ribosomal RNA is filed under the name uncultured bacterium. RNAcentral describes it as "bacterial SSU rRNA". It matches the Rfam family "Bacterial small subunit ribosomal RNA", at positions 524 to 898 of the family's 1533-position model. The record is from RNAcentral.
UACGGAGGGUGCAAGCGUUAAUCGGAAUUACUGGGCGUAAAGCGUGCGUAGGCGGCCUGUUAAGUCAGAUGUGAAAGCCCCGGGCUUAACCUGGGAACUGCAUCUGAUACUGGGAGGCUAGAAUGUGGGAGAGGAGAGUGGAAUUUCCGGUGUAGCGGUGAAAUGCAUAGAGAUCGGAAGGAACACCAGUGGCGAAGGCGGCUCUCUGGACCAACAUUGACGCUGAGGCACGAAAGCGUGGGUAGCAAACAGGAUUAGAUACCCUGGUAGUCCACGCCGUAAACGAUGUCAACUAGCCGCCGGCCUCACUCUAGAGGUCGGUGGUGCAGCUAACGCAUUAAGUUGACCGCCUGGGGAGUACGGCCGCAAGGUUGAA